RNAcentral lists this ribosomal RNA (405 nucleotides) under uncultured bacterium. RNAcentral describes it as "partial 16S ribosomal RNA". It matches the Rfam family "Bacterial small subunit ribosomal RNA", at positions 28 to 526 of the family's 1533-position model. The record is from RNAcentral.
GACGAACGCUGGCGGCGUGCUUAACACAUGCAAGUCGAACGAGCGGCGGACGGGUGAGUAAUGAUUGGGAAUCUAGCUGAUGGAGGGGGAUAACUACGGGAAACGGUAGCUAAUACCGCGUACCAUAGGAUGAGCCCAAGUGGGAUUAGUUAGUUGGUGGGGUAAAGGCUCACCAAGCCGACGAUCUCUAGCUGGUCUGAGAGGAUGACCAGCCACACUGGGACUGAGACACGGCCCAGACUCCUACGGGAGGCAGCAGUGGGGAAUAUUGCGCAAUGGGGGCAACCUGACGCAGCCAUGCCGCGUGAAUGAAGAAGGCCUUCGGGUUGUAAAGUACUUUCGGUAGCGAGGCGUUAACUACAGAAGAAGCACCGGCUAACUCCGUGCCAGCAGCCGCGGUAAUAC